Molecule: ribosomal RNA, 274 nt
Filed under: uncultured bacterium
Lineage: Bacteria
Description: partial 16S ribosomal RNA
Rfam family: Bacterial small subunit ribosomal RNA
Source: RNAcentral
AUACGGAGGGUGCAAGCGUUACUCGGAAUCACUGGGCGUAAAGCGCGCGCAGGCGGUCUUUUAAGUUGGAUGUGAAAGCCUACGGCUCAACCGUAGAACUGCAUCCAAAACUAUUAGACUAGAGUGUGGGAGAGGAAGAUGGAAUUAGUUGUGUAGGGGUAAAAUCCGUAGAGAUAACUAGGAAUACCAAAAGCGAAGGCAAUCUUCUGGAACACUACUGACGCUGAGGCGCGAAAGCGUGGGGAGCAAACAGGAUUAGAUACCCUGGUAGUCC